UUAACGUGCCUCUCUCCUCACGCCAUCCCAAUUGCCUUCCCCGCGCGCUCGUACCAACAUAAGGAGCCCUCGCGGCGGGGCGGACGGACACCGACAUGGCCCCAGGGGAGAGCACGGUGCUACAGACGCGCUUCUACGGCUGCAUCCAUGUCUUCCUGUUCCUGUCCGUGCUGCUUCUCACUGUCGAGGUGGCUGCCUACCUCCAGGGAUGGCACCUCGAGGUGGAUAUACCGGGGCUCCUCACCGUGGAUGUCUUCACCGCCGCCUACGUCGGGUAGAUGCGCUCCCGCCUCGAGUACCUCGCGCCGCUGCUGCAUUUCUUGAUCAACACCUGCGUCGUCCUCUUCUUGAUCCAGAGCAUCGACUGGCUCGUCCUUUGACACGGCUACUUCUAGAUCAGGCUCAAGGGCAUCAAGCCCGUGCCGCAGGCCAGCGGCAAGGAGGACAUCGAAGCCGACGCCGAGGACUUCCUCCCGGUGCUCGUGCAGAUUCCCAUGUGCAACUAGAGGGAGGUGUACCAGUGUUGUUGCAAGAAGAUAUGUUGUACGAACAAGUGCGGCGAGGGCUCACUUACAGGAGUGGCUCAAGCUUGGAGAAGAAGUGGGGAGGGAGGAAUACAAAAUAUGUCGAUAGUAAAAAGGAUGGGUCCUUGGCCUAAUGUCCAGAGGUCUGUGUUUAUAGUACCAGUAGGGUGUGAAAUGUAUAAGUCUGCCCCUACAAAGAUGGCGAUACAAAUAUCGCUA
Phragmites australis (common reed) is the source of this 743-nucleotide long non-coding RNA. RefSeq lists it as uncharacterized. The transcript is spliced from 2 exons. Lineage: Eukaryota; Viridiplantae; Streptophyta; Magnoliopsida; Poales; Poaceae. The record is from RefSeq and is a predicted model, not a curated record.